CUAACUGUUCUGUGUUCUGCGUGCACGUCCGCAAACAUCGACCACACACCCGGUCACGGAAAUUUCUAACAGAGUUGGUUCUGCUAGAAUCCUGCUAGAAUCAUUCUAACAGGCUUGCUAGAUUUCUGUAAGAAUUUUGUGAGAACAUUCUGUCAGAAGCAAAUCUGUCGAAAAUGAUGUCAUUUCGCCAAAUCACGUUGGGGCGAAUGUGGUUACCGCCAUUUUGUUAAUGAACUUGUUCAAUCAAGUUUACUUUUCUCGAGAGUUGCCACGGAAGAAGCCUAAUUUUUGAAUUGUAUCAAGAUAAUAAUAAAAGCUCGAAAUGUCCCAAACAAGCGGAAUCCAGAUCGCAGUUCACGGUGGCCGGGGCACAGCUUCCCAUCGACGACGACACGUGGAGCAUCCUAGGAAACAACAAAAUUAUAAAUGUUCCACCACGGAAUUUUCAUCUGGAGACAACACCGGCAGGAAGAGUGAAUAAAAGCGUCCUUUUCAACUCCACCAAAAUACGAGCAACGAAGAUUGAAAGUGCCCAAGUGAACAGUAUAAAGUGUGUGCAUAUUGUAAGAUGUGAUUUGAUUGAAUAAAAAAAA
Molecule: long non-coding RNA, 593 nt
Organism: Culex quinquefasciatus (southern house mosquito)
Lineage: Eukaryota; Metazoa; Arthropoda; Insecta; Diptera; Culicidae
Exons: 2
Source: RefSeq, a predicted model, not a curated record